GUCCAAAUGUAUAUAUAAAAAAGAAGAUGUGGUAUGAUUGCCAAUGAGAUAACUUUCCACAGGAGACCAAAUGACAUAGAAAUUAACAGCUAUAGGUCACUGUACAGCCUUCAAUAAUGAGUAACAAUAGCCUUGUGUAGAAAAAUUUUAAUAUCAUCCGCAAGUACUACUAUAAUGUUAAAUGUAUAAUAUUAUGAAAAUAACAGUUCAUUUUAUGGAAGAAAUACUUACUUUUUUCUAAAGCUUUCAAAAUGAGAACAUUUAAUAUUGUCAAAUGCUAUAAAAUCUGUUGCAAUCUUUUAAUAAGUUUUAAGAUAUUGUCAUAAGAUCAGACACAAUACAUCCUUUUCAUUAUAUAAUUCUUUUAACA
This 370-nucleotide long non-coding RNA is filed under the name Mytilus galloprovincialis (Mediterranean mussel). The record is from RNAcentral. Lineage: Eukaryota; Metazoa; Mollusca; Bivalvia; Mytilida; Mytilidae.